UAGCUUAGUUGGUAGAGCAUGAGACUCUUGUAAUCUCAUGUUGUGGGUUCGAGUCCUGUUGGGCAAAA
This is a non-coding RNA of Podarcis lilfordi (Lilford's wall lizard), 68 nucleotides long. NCBI's taxonomy places the organism in Eukaryota, Metazoa, Chordata, Lepidosauria, Squamata, Lacertidae. The record is from the annotation of a GenBank genome assembly.